CCUACGGGGGGCUGCAGUGAGGAAUAUUGGGCAAUGGGCGCAAGCCUGACCCAGCAACGCCGCGUGAAGGAAGAAGGCUUUCGGGUUGUAAACUUCUUUUAUCCGGGACGAAGCAAGUGACGGUACCUGAUGAAUAAGCCACGGCUAACUACGGGCCAGCAGCCGCGGGAAUACGUAGGUGGCAAGCGUUAUCCGGAUUUAAUGGGGGUAAAGGGCGUGUAGGCGGGAGUGCAAGUCAGAUGUGAAAACUAUGGGCUCAACCCAUAGCGUGCAUUUGAAACUGUACUUCUUGAGUGCGGGAGAGGUAAGCGGAAUGCCGGGUGUAGCGGUGAAAUGCGUAGAUAUACGGAGGAACACCAGUUGCGAAGGCGGAUUGCUGGACAGUAACUGACGCUGAGGCGCGAAAGCGUGGGGAGCAAACAGGAUUAGAUACCCCGGUAGUC
RNAcentral lists this ribosomal RNA (443 nucleotides) under uncultured bacterium. RNAcentral describes it as "partial 16S ribosomal RNA". It matches the Rfam family "Bacterial small subunit ribosomal RNA", at positions 338 to 795 of the family's 1533-position model. The record is from RNAcentral.